Stylophora pistillata is the source of this 2142-nucleotide RNA transcript. It is a transcript of the gene named crt homolog 1, with no coding region annotated. The record is from RefSeq and is a predicted model, not a curated record. NCBI's taxonomy places the organism in Eukaryota, Metazoa, Cnidaria, Anthozoa, Scleractinia, Pocilloporidae.
UGUUCCCUGUUCCUUGUUCUUUCUUUCCUAUUCCUCAUUACUCGUUCUACGUUCUUCGUUCCCCGUUCUUCGUUCCCAGUUUAUAUUUGCAAAAUCUAAUCGAUUUCCUCUCGGCCAUCUUUAAAAUAGAGAACGGACUCGAGAGAGCGGCAGAAAUCGAGCCUGGAUUUCCACUGUCAUGUAGUUCUACUUUUGUUAACAGUCGUAAAUUUUACAGGAUUUACUUGCGUAGAAAAAAAAAAAGAGUAACUUCUCCACAGACCGCUUAUACAUUUGGUGGAUUUCACUCCACGUUUAAAAGAUUGCCGCUUUUCAAUAUCCCUUCUUUUAAAGAUUCCCACAUUCAAAGACACCCGCUUUUUAAAGAUUCCCCUUUUUAAGAUUCUCGCUUUUAAAGAUUCCCCGUUCCCCGUUCGGCCAUUUCCCGUUCCUUAUUUUGAAGAUACCCUCUCGAGAUUUUGGGUUCGGUAUUUGCUCAUAAAUGAGUUUUGUUUUCAUUAACAUCAUAGAUCACGUGGAUAUUAUUGGAACUUCACCUUGGCCUUGAGUUUUUCUUUGCAAGAAUCGAUUCCAUGCAUUCUUUCGAAAGAUUUUGUUUUCCUUUUUUCAGUUUAUCAAUGACUGAAUAGUAAAUAAUACAUAUUAUUGUUUUCGAAGAACUGGUAAAUCUAUCGCUUACCGAAAAAGCUAGAAUAAACAAAAUUCAACCACCAGUAGCCACGAGUCAUACGAUCUAAUUUCCCCUCUUGCCCAGUGGGAGUCCAGGGGCACUGUUGUCAUUAGCAUGGACUGGAUCGAUCGUUGUAGAACUAUCCUUGUUAUGUUGCGAUGAGAACACAUUCUAAGCUCUUCAUAAUCAAAUUUAGCAGCUACAGAACCGAUUUUAGGUUGGACCUGUGUGUUAUAACGCUGCUUAAUUCAAUUCUAAGAAUGUCGCUGGACACAAAAGGUUUCCUCAACUCGACAAACACUUCUCACCGAGACUUCAAGUAUGACCCUCUGUUUAACACUGUAGACACCACCACAGAACCAAACACUUAUCUCUUCAGUAAAGAUCUACAGAACCAGCAUAGACUAGAAGCAUGGCUCUCAUUGAGCAGUAUAGCCACUCUAUUGUAUGCAUUUGGAGUCGUUACCGGUCAAGUAACUCAGUAUGUCACUCUGCCGAUGUGGAUCGACAGUACGAAGAAUGUGACUUCAUCCCAGAACCAAAGCAUUAAAUGGACACCAACAAUGGACAGCUAUUUCGUUUUAUCUUUUGCCUCUACUGUUUUUGUUACAGUGUUCGGUUCUGUCUUAGUUCUUAAUACCUUCGUUUUCAAGCAAUAUUCAAUCUGUAACACAGACUGGAGUCAUCGUCGUUUAUUUCUGACAGUUGGUUUCUUUCAAGGACUUGCUGCAGUUUUUAUCGUGUUUUCCAGCAGUGGAAAGAGAACCCCUCCUUAUCUACAAGCCAUCCUUGGAAACUUUUCAAUUCCUAUAACGCUCUUAUUAAGAUUCCUCUUCUUAAAGAAGGUUCCUACCAGGAGAAAAUUCCUAUCUGCGGUUGCAGUCGUAGUUGGCCUUUUUAUUUCUCUCAUUCCAACUUUUUCCUCACGUAUUGAUCCAAGAGCUGCAAGACAUCUAGGAGGAGCUACUGGGUCAGGAAGAGUCUUAUGGCCUUUGGCAUUCAUGUUUGGAUUUGGGAUCUCAGCCAUUUCUUAUGUUAUGGAAGAAAAAGCUGUUAAGCUGCGAGCAAAUGAUGAAACUCACGCUGGCUUAGUGUCUUUUUUGUUUUGGACUUCACUGGCACAAUUUCUUGUCCUGCUGCCUCUAUUCUGGGUGGAUUUCAUUCCAGGAUUUGGACAGACAAAGAACUUUCAUGAAUUCAUUCAAAAUUUAUAUUUUAUUCAGUUGGAUAUUUGGGCUCCAGUGCGUAUUUGGUGGAGCAGGAUGUUCAUGGUCUCCUGGUGUCCUUGCACUUCUGUUCAUCACUAGCUAUAUUAUGGUAGUCUGUGGUUGUGCACUGCUUCUCCGAUAUUCCGAGGGAGCAACGUUACUUGCAAUAGUUCUGUCUCUUUGUACACCCCUUGGAUUCAUUUUCUGGACCUUGUUUCAAGAGAAACCUUUCCAUUGGCACCCUUACUUUCACACCAGUUCGUG